Molecule: ribosomal RNA, 424 nt
Filed under: uncultured bacterium
Lineage: Bacteria
Description: bacterial SSU rRNA
Rfam family: Bacterial small subunit ribosomal RNA
Source: RNAcentral
GAAUUUUGGGCAAUGGGCGAAAGCCUGACCCAGCAACGCCGCGUGCAGGAUGAAGGCCCUCGGGUCGUAAACUGCUGUCGGGAGGGAAGAACGGCGGUGGUGGAAACACUGCCAUCGCGUGACGGUACCCCCCACGGAAGCGCCGGCCAACUCCGUGCCAGCAGCCGCGGUAAUACGGAGGGCGCAAGCGUUGUUCGGAAUUACUGGGCGUAAAGGGCGUGUAGGCGGUCUGGUAAGUCGGUUGUGAAAUCCCCGGGCUCAACCCGGGAACUGCAUCCGAAACUGCUGGGCUAGAGUUCCGGAGAGGAAGGCAGAAUUCCCAAUGUAGGGGUGAAAUCCGUAGAUAUUGGGAGGAAUACCAGUGGCGAAGGCGGCCUUCUGGACGGUGACUGACGCUGAGACGCGAAAGCGUGGGGAGCAAACA